AGAGCCUCAUAACAUCCAGCGUAGACUGGCACUGUGAAAAGGGGUAAGUGAAACGUGAAUAACCUGCCUAUGACUCUGGGAUACGCGUUGGAAACGACGUCUAAUACCGGAUACGAGCUAGGACCGCUUGAUCACUAGCUGGAAAGAAUUUUGGUCAAGGAUGGACUCGCGGCCUAUCAGCUAGUUGGUGAGGUAGUGGGCGCGCCAAGGCGACAACGGGUAACCGGCCUGAGAGGGUGACCGGCCACACUGGGACUGAAACACGGCCCAGACUCCUACGGGAGGCAGCAGUGGGAAAUAUUGCACAAUGGGCGCAAGCCUGAUGCAACACCGCCGCGUGAGGAACGACGCCUUUCGGGUUGGAACCCUCUU
Molecule: ribosomal RNA, 372 nt
Filed under: uncultured Actinomycetes bacterium
Lineage: Bacteria; Bacillati; Actinomycetota; Actinomycetes
Description: bacterial SSU rRNA
Rfam family: Bacterial small subunit ribosomal RNA
Source: RNAcentral